RNAcentral lists this ribosomal RNA (410 nucleotides) under Acidobacteriota bacterium. RNAcentral's name for it is "Acidobacteria bacterium partial 16S ribosomal RNA". It matches the Rfam family "Bacterial small subunit ribosomal RNA", at positions 355 to 776 of the family's 1533-position model. Lineage: Bacteria; Pseudomonadati; Acidobacteriota. The record is from RNAcentral.
UCGAGAAUCAUUCACAAUGGGGGAAACCCUGAUGGUGCGACGCCGCGUGGGGGAAUGAAGGUCUUCGGAUUGUAAACCCCUGUCAUGUGGGAGCAAAUUAAAAAGAUAGUACCACAAGAGGAAGAGACGGCUAACUCUGUGCCAGCAGCCGCGGUAAUACAGAGGUCUCAAGCGUUGUUCGGAAUCACUGGGCGUAAAGCGUGCGUAGGCGGUUUCGUAAGUCGUGUGAGAAAGGCGGGGGCUCAACCCCCGGACUGCACAUGAUACUGCGAGACUAGAGUAAUGGAGGGGGAACCGGAAUUCUCGGUGUAGCAGUGAAAUGCGUAGAUAUCGAGAGGAACACUCGUGGCGAAGGCGGGUUCCUGGACAUUAACUGACGCUGAGGCACGAAGGCCAGGGGAGCGAAAGGG